UAACACAUUCCACAGUAGGAUCAUUUCUAUAGGAAUCGUCACUCUUUGACUCUUCAAAAGAGCCACUGAAUCCAACUUGGUUGAUGAGUCGCAGAACCUUCGUACCCUAGAGUGAGACCGAAGAUGUAAACUAGCUUGGUCCACAACCCUUAGCGGUUUGGCCAUCUACGCAGCUCUUUGUUUUGCCUUUUGCAUAGGAUGCAAGAACACUUGUGUUUGCGCAUCUGCUCAAAAAGGCGCGAUGAUCUUGGCCCAGUUUAUGCACUUCUUCGUGAAGGGAUAAACACUACUGGGUGGGUAUGAAUGGCAGUCUGACAAGU
Molecule: small nucleolar RNA, 320 nt
Filed under: Lachancea fermentati
Lineage: Eukaryota; Fungi; Ascomycota; Saccharomycetes; Saccharomycetales; Saccharomycetaceae
Description: Fungal small nucleolar RNA U3
Rfam family: Fungal small nucleolar RNA U3
About the family: Small nucleolar RNAs (snoRNAs) are involved in the processing and modification of rRNA in the nucleolus. There are two main classes of snoRNAs: the box C/D class, and the box H/ACA class. U3 snoRNA is a member of the box C/D class.
Source: Rfam by way of RNAcentral